GGAGACUCUAGAAGACCAACUUUUCUACGCCCUGGACUACGCCAUCAAACACGAUAGGGUGGAAUACGAUGACACCUACGUGUCACUUCAGAGACACAGUCAAUUUAGCUCUUUCUGUGACACUAUUGUCAUCGACAAAGUCACUUUGGGAAAGAAGAGAAUAGAAUGUCCGGAAACUUACGAUGACACUAAGGAUUACGGAUAUUAAAGUUUGGCAACGAAAGUAAAUUUUAAAAUGGUA
Long non-coding RNA from Aricia agestis (brown argus), 241 nucleotides. RefSeq lists it as uncharacterized. The transcript has 2 exons. The record is from RefSeq and is a predicted model, not a curated record. Lineage: Eukaryota; Metazoa; Arthropoda; Insecta; Lepidoptera; Lycaenidae.